Molecule: ribosomal RNA, 253 nt
Filed under: uncultured bacterium
Lineage: Bacteria
Description: partial 16S ribosomal RNA
Rfam family: Bacterial small subunit ribosomal RNA
Source: RNAcentral
GACGUAGGAUGCAAGCGUUGUCCGGAUUUAUUGGGCGUAAAGAGUUCGUAGGCGGUUCGUUAAGUUUGGUGUUAAAGAUCGGGGCUCAACCUCGGGAGUGCACUGAAUACUGGCGGACUGGAGUGUGGUAGAGGCUAGUGGAAUUCCCAGUGUAGCGGUGAAAUGCGUAGAUAUUGGGAAGAACACCGGUGGCGUAGGCGACUAGCUGGGCCAUAACUGACGCUGAGGAACGAAAGCCAGGGGAGCGAAUGGG